This is a non-coding RNA of Anoplopoma fimbria (sablefish), 1438 nucleotides long. The record is from the annotation of a RefSeq genome assembly. Lineage: Eukaryota; Metazoa; Chordata; Actinopteri; Perciformes; Anoplopomatidae.
CAGUGGCUGUCCAGGCCUUUCAGAGACUCUGACACGCCGGCAGCACAAUGAUGAUGUCACUGACUCUACUGCUGACCACCCUGGGGCUCCUUGUUCAGGAUUCAUCAGGAGAAAUCAUCCUGACUCAGUCUCCUGGAUCUCAGUCUGUUGUUCCAGGACAGACUGUCUCCAUCAGAUGUAAAACCAGUACAAGUGUUGGUACCUGCCUUAACUGGUAUCUUCAAAAACAAGGAGAAUCUCCCAAACUUUUGAUUUAUUAUGCUACAAAUCUUCAGUCUGGGAUUUCAGAUCGUUUCAGUGGAAGUGGAUCUGGAACUGACUUCACUCUGACCAUCAGUGGAGUUCAGACUGAAGAUGCAGGAGAUUAUUACUGUCAGCAGUGUAACAGCUGGCCGUUCACACAGUGAUACACCGUCGUACAAAAACCUCCUCAGCUAAAGAGGAACUGAUCUGACUCAACAGCUGCACAGAAAUUUUAACACUAGACGUUUGAUUAACAUACUGUUUAUAUACAUACAACACAUUUAGCACAUUUCUGUUAAAUAUAGUUUAUGGAGUGUUUUGAGAGUAAAUAGAAUUUUCCUCAAAGUCAGAGCCAAAACUAUGUAAUCUCAGCUGUUAUAGCAAUAUAGUCUUAUUAAUAUUAAAACAAAUAAUUAACAAAUGUAGGUACAAAUAUUGAAUGAAUGCUACAUUUUGAAAUGUGAAAAGGCCUCAAUAAUCAAGCCCAGAAAUGAAUAACAACAACAACUACUUAUAGCUCUUAACAAAAAAGUGUAUUCAUACUAUUAAGAAUUGUGUCAUAGUUUUGUGACUGAACUAAAAGAAAAAUGUUAUGUCAGUAAUUGGAUGAUAUCGACAAAUUAUGAGAUACAACACAAUUCAAUACAGAGUACUUCACGGAGCAUUAUUUCUUUCUAAAAUCAUCAACUUAAAAUAUAUAAUUCUAGAGAUCUGAUCCUUACACAAAUUCAAUCUUUUUGGAUUAAAUAUAUCAACUGUUGUGAUGAUAGACAACCUCAUAUUACAACAGUUAUACUUUUAUACUAUACAUGGACACAAAUUAUUUGAAGAAAAGGUCUUUCAUAUUUUAACAUUAUAUCAUUUUUACUGAAGGAAGGGAACAAUGACCAUGUGUUAAUGCUGCAAACAGACAGGAGGAGACAGAGACUGUGCUAAUAUCUCUUUUGUGUCAAGUCCUUGAUUAAAAUUGUACUGUUUCAUUAAACAUUAUUAUAUGUAAAAACUCAAAUGAAAUGCGUAUCACAUUAUGCAGAUAAUACCCUGCUUUUUAUUACCAAUCCUGAAAAUGAUCUGUCCUAUUUGACAACAAUUGAACAUAUCUAAUAUAUCUUCUUUAAAGGUAAACUGAACGUGUUUUUCAGUCAUAUUCAUGUAUGAAAUUAAAUUAUUCCACAUAAUCCAAUAAUAUAAAUUG